Long non-coding RNA from Haliotis rubra (blacklip abalone), 291 nucleotides. RefSeq lists it as uncharacterized. The transcript has 3 exons. Lineage: Eukaryota; Metazoa; Mollusca; Gastropoda; Lepetellida; Haliotidae. The record is from RefSeq and is a predicted model, not a curated record.
ACCCUUAUUGCAAGUUCCCCUCCUCCAGCGCGCCUAACUGGAGACUACAUUUACUCCUGGGAGGUAGUUUUCAGGAUGGAAGAUCAAACCAGUAAAGAAUACAAAGAGGGACUACGAGACAAUCUGCAGAACAGCCUCAAGUACAGAGUGGACAAUCACCAGAAUCUCAUGUACAAAGUUCUCGGAGAGUUUCCUAUUAAGAUGAUGUAUUUUGCAUCAUUGAAACCAGAGGAUGCUGAACUGGUUAUCUGGCAAUUCAACCCCCAAAGACUGAUUUUUACAGCAAAGGUG